GACGAACGCUGGCGGCGUGCUUAACACAUGCAAGUCGAACGGAAAGGCCCUGCUUUUGUGGUGUGCUCGAGUGGCGAACGGGUGAGUAACACGUGUGUAACCUGCCCUUGACUUUGGUAUAACUUCAGGAAACUGGGGCUAAUACCGGAUAAGAGCUCCUGCUGCAUGGUGGGGGAUGGAAAGUUUCGGCGGUUGGGGAUGGACUCGCGGCUUAUCAGCUUGUUGGUGGGGUAGUGGCUUACCAAGGCUUUGACGGGUAGCCGGCCUGAGAGGGUGACCGGCAACAUUGGGACUGAGAUACGGCCAAGACUCCUACGGGAGGAAGAAGUGGGGAAUAUGGCACAAUGGGCGGAAGCCUGAUGCAGCAACGCCGCGUGCGGGAUGACGGCCUUCGGGUGGUAAACCGCUUUCGCCUGUGACGAAGCGUGAGUGACGGUAAUGGGUAAAGAAGCACCGGCUAACUACGUG
Molecule: ribosomal RNA, 468 nt
Filed under: uncultured bacterium
Lineage: Bacteria
Description: partial 16S ribosomal RNA
Rfam family: Bacterial small subunit ribosomal RNA
Source: RNAcentral